AUGUUUAUCUGGAGAGGAAGAUCCUCCCUACGUCAGUCUGCCAAUAAAGGCAGUCAUGUCCUGGACAUUAGAGAUAUGGAAGGAAUCCUUCAUGUCCUGCAUGAAAUGAUGACUGACUCACGGACAACGGAAGGCAUCAUGAAUAGCUCCUCGGGUCUUCGAGCUCAGAAGAUGCUGCUCCAGCAGUGCUGUCAGAUCCUGUUUCUCCUGCUGUCUCCCUCUGAAGCUCCUCACACAAACACACACAUCCUAAAUUGUGUCGCCGCGGGGGAAAUGUGCCACACCGCCACCGAGCCGGAACCCAAAACUAAUUAUUCCCUUAAUCCAGCCAGAAGAGAGACGGAGAAAAAAUAA
Molecule: long non-coding RNA, 354 nt
Organism: Carassius auratus (goldfish)
Lineage: Eukaryota; Metazoa; Chordata; Actinopteri; Cypriniformes; Cyprinidae
Source: Ensembl